Cavia porcellus (domestic guinea pig) is the source of this 1462-nucleotide long non-coding RNA. RefSeq lists it as uncharacterized. NCBI's taxonomy places the organism in Eukaryota, Metazoa, Chordata, Mammalia, Rodentia, Caviidae. The transcript is spliced from 2 exons. The record is from RefSeq and is a predicted model, not a curated record.
CGGGGGCGGGGCCGCGACGUGGGGGCGGGGAACAGGAAAGUGAUGGGGCGUGGCCUCGAUAGUGGGACGGGACUAUAGCGUAAGGGCGCGGCGAAGGCGGGGGCACGUCUGCCAAGGUGGGGCGAAAUCAGAACGUUGUUUGCGGACUUGCGCGUGCGCGUGCGCGCGGUGACGGCUUAAUUCCAGAGGGUAGUCUGGCGGAAGUGCCACUGGGAGGAACCCUAGGUUUGCAGCCAUCAAAGAGUUCAGCACUGGCCACCGAGCGUUCAGCCUACGCCAAUCCGUGAAUGUUCACCCGCCUUCCGCUCUUUAGCAGCCAGGUGGCAGCAGGGUAACCGGAGGCAGUCUUCCUCCUAUUGGGCUCUGGACCGAAGGCCUUUCACUCAUCGCUGUGCACAGCAGGACAAGAGACAGAUUUCCCAGGGAUUGCAGUGUCGGUGGGCAGGAUCAGGCUCAUCAGGAGCCAAACCCCUGGAAUGUCCUGCAGUUAUCACAUGGAAGCCACAGACCUCUCCGGCAACCACCAUCUUCCUACCAGUAUCAGUGUAACACAUGUGAGUGACAUAGCAGCAAAGAAGAAGAACUUGGGGCAGAGCUGACCCAUGGCAACAUUCAUCAGUGUGGCAGCCCUGUCCUGUGCCUGCCACAUCACCCCCCCCCGCUUUUGGCCUGGGGACUGGUAAGAAAGUGUAGACACCUUCCUGAGAGAUACUUUGGGACCUUGGAAUCAAGUGGAAGUGUAGUGCUCUUGGACCAAACUUUGAUCUCUCUCAGAUGGGACCUGUUUUGGCCCUGGGUCUACAUCUGGUGUACCCCUCGAUAGGUCUUGCCUCCUCUUGGCUUUAUUCUUGUGUACCACGUGUGUCAUGCUGUAUUACUCUUGCUAUUUGGAGUUCUCUCAACCCCAUUACCACUGAAGCUGUCUCAAUGCCAACCUAAGGGUUUGGAGGCAGGAACAAGGCUUUGCCUCAACUGUGACAGCCAGGGUGAAUGCUUCAUAAAUAAUGGCUGACAUGACUGCCACUAUACCCAAUGGGUGGCCCUGAUGGCUCUUGUCAUCAGGAUAGAUCUCAGCUAGGUAUCUGUUCUCUCUUUCUGGAGUAAGGAAGACCACCCACAGAGGGCCAGACAGUGAGCCACGCAGCCUUGCUGGUAUGGAUUUUUAAGAUCAGAUGCUGUGGUUACUGCAUUCUCCCUCUGGGUUAGGGUCUAGGGUUACUAUCUGUUUUGGGCACUAGUUAGCUGAUGCAUGUAUGUCCCCUAGAGGAACCAGUCACCUCCAUGUCCCCUACACCCAACAUGCUUAUCAUAGCACCCUUGUCCCUGCUAACCCCCAGAGUUAUGAGCCAGUGUAUCUCAGGGGUGGAACACUUGCCUAGUGUGCAUGGGACCUUGGUUCUAUCCCCAGUAUUCAAACAAACAAAUAAAUAUAAAAGCCAGAUCCCCAAAGGCUAACAAGAAA